This is a non-coding RNA of Contarinia nasturtii (swede midge), 74 nucleotides long. NCBI's taxonomy places the organism in Eukaryota, Metazoa, Arthropoda, Insecta, Diptera, Cecidomyiidae. The record is from the annotation of a RefSeq genome assembly.
GCUCCAUUGGCGCAAUUGGUUAGCGCGCCGUACUUAUAAUGCGGAGGUUGGCAGUUCGACCCUGCCAUGGAGCA